GGGCCCGUAGCUCAGCUGGCUAGAGCGCACGGCUGAUAACCGUGAGGUCGAUGGUUCGAGUCCAUCCGGGCCCACCA
RNAcentral lists this transfer RNA (77 nucleotides) under Actinomycetota bacterium. RNAcentral describes it as "tRNA-Ile". It matches the Rfam family "tRNA". Rfam says of the family: Transfer RNA (tRNA) molecules are approximately 80 nucleotides in length. Their secondary structure includes four short double-helical elements and three loops (D, anti-codon, and T loops). Further hydrogen bonds mediate the characteristic L-shaped molecular structure. tRNAs have two regions of fundamental functional importance: the anti-codon, which is responsible for specific mRNA codon recognition, and the 3' end, to which the tRNAs corresponding amino acid is attached (by aminoacyl-tRNA synthetases). tRNAs cope with the degeneracy of the genetic code in two manners: having more than one tRNA (with a specific anti-codon) for a particular amino acid; and 'wobble' base-pairing, i.e. permitting non-standard base-pairing at the 3rd anti-codon position. The record is from RNAcentral. Lineage: Bacteria; Bacillati; Actinomycetota.